UACGUAGGGGGCGAGCGUUGUCCGGAAUUACUGGGCGUAAAGGGUGCGUAGGCGGCCGAUUAAGUCAGAUGUGAAAUACCACGGCUCAACUGUGGGGGUGCAUAUGAAACUGGUUGGCUUGAGUGCAGGAGAGGAAAGUGGAAUUCCUAGUGUAGCGGUGAAAUGCGUAGAGAUUAGGAGGAACACCAGUGGCGAAGGCGACCUUCUGGACUGUAACUGACGCUGAGGCACGAAAGCGUGGGGAGCAAACAGG
Molecule: ribosomal RNA, 253 nt
Filed under: uncultured bacterium
Lineage: Bacteria
Description: partial 16S ribosomal RNA
Rfam family: Bacterial small subunit ribosomal RNA
Source: RNAcentral